RNAcentral lists this long non-coding RNA (298 nucleotides) under Mytilus galloprovincialis (Mediterranean mussel). The record is from RNAcentral. Lineage: Eukaryota; Metazoa; Mollusca; Bivalvia; Mytilida; Mytilidae.
GAGGUUAUUCUUUUCAGAACAUAUUGUUCAAUUCUAAAACGUAUUUUCACGUAUUUGAUAUUAUAUAACAGUUGUUUUCCAGUGUUUCAUUGGUUGAGUCGAGCGUUUCAUUUUGUCAGGUUUUAUGGACUUCCCAAUUUUAUAAUUUACCUUAAAGCUCGGUGUUUUUGUUUAUACUUUUUGUAUCUUUUAUUUUGUCCAUCUUCUCUCUCGUAUUUAAUGAUCCAUUACAAGUGAUUUACAACUUCUUUAAUUUAUUGACCCCUGAUUUUUUUGAGGAUGCUAAUUCGUAUUCUAG